GUGCAGUCGCUGUGUGUUUUAGGGUCUCAUACCCGUGUGCGCCAGCAGGACCACAGCUGUGACCGGCUGCUCCAGAAGAAGUGGGUGGGUUGAGACCCCACCGGCAGGGUCACUGGGGGUAGCAGGCCCUCUGUCAGCACUGACUUCUGUAUCAUGUCAGGGAUUUUUAGGGCGGCAAGCUCAGGUGGACAGGCAGUUUUAUUCUGUUUCCCAUGUCAAGUCCAGCCCCAGACUGACUUUCUGAGGUCACAGACGGAGCCUCACCCCAUCCAAGGCGGUGUCCUGGACUCCCACUGUGCUCCCCAGAGGGCAGGGUACCUGGGGCCCAGCCCGGGCGGCAGGAGGGACUCAGCCCCUCGCCCAGGCAGGAAGGGUCCCAAGCAGAGGCCCCUCCCUCAGGCACUCCCCAGCCCACACCUGCAGCACUGGGACCAAGACUAAUAAAACACCAGCCUCACGGAAGACAGCUUUAUCUUGUUGAUCGGAAGUCUGCCAGCCCAAUUUAUGAUGGAACAUAAGAUCUCUAAAUCUGAAUUUACGCUCUGUAGCGUAACGAGAGGUCAAUAAGAUUAAACGGGGGCUCAGGAGAGGACCAG
Molecule: long non-coding RNA, 596 nt
Filed under: Homo sapiens (human)
Lineage: Eukaryota; Metazoa; Chordata; Mammalia; Primates; Hominidae
Description: non-protein coding LINC02593:43
Source: RNAcentral